AUACUUAAUAAAACACACCCUUCCAAGUGCCAGAUACAACCCGGUGAUCGCUCUCUAACAGGGCGACGAGGAGAGGAUCGUCGGGUAGGAUUAUGCUAUGCGAUGCUACUUGGAGGACUUCAGUCUACUCUCUUCUUCAUGCUGCAAGACGGAGGCUGCCAGAAGCGUAGUCUUCGACAGGAUUAGUUAUCCCCCUCUUAUUCUGGCAUUCUGCAAUUCAGUCCACCGAUAUGGCCCUUUACACAUAUA
This 249-nucleotide ribosomal RNA is filed under the name Triticum aestivum (bread wheat). RNAcentral's name for it is "partial small subunit ribosomal RNA". The record is from RNAcentral. Lineage: Eukaryota; Viridiplantae; Streptophyta; Magnoliopsida; Poales; Poaceae.